Molecule: ribosomal RNA, 106 nt
Filed under: uncultured bacterium
Lineage: Bacteria
Description: partial 16S ribosomal RNA
Rfam family: Bacterial small subunit ribosomal RNA
Source: RNAcentral
UGGUGNGGGUAACGGCCCACCAAGGCGACGAUCAGUAGCCGGCCUGAGAGGGUGAACGGCCACAUUGGGACUGAGACACGGCCCAAACUCCUACGGGAGGCAGCAG